UCUGUGAGCUGGGGGUGGCUAACCUCCCCACUGGAAGAGGAAGGAAAUCAGCCAUGGGGAGGCCAAGUGACUUGCUCCAGAUCCACGGGUCAUAGAUUCGCUUACUCCAAGCCUUUGGGAAUGGACCUGCCCCUGAUCCCACCCUGAGAACCCUAGCAUUGAGGACGAGUCCUGUCACCAGUGGAUGCUUUGUGAAUGGUUACCUCUGAUGGCAGGUGUGACAGAGAUGGCUAACUGACCACUUAGAUUUGAGCUCCUCUCCCAUGAUAGAGUUGUUGCUGGGGAGGGACUGCCCCGCCAUUGACUUCACACAUCCGGCCCCCUUGGACCUGGGAAGGGCCAUGCAAUUAGUUCUGACCGGAGUGAAAUGCCAGGAGAUGUGAAAUACAUCACUUUGGGAUCAAGGUGGCUCUGCGGCUGGUGUGCUUUCACCGUGAACUCUCUCUCUUUGAUGGUGACCUUGGAUCCCAAGUGUUGAGAUGGUGGUUUCACAAGAAGGAGGUGAAAUGCCUCAUCGGGAACAUCUGUGUUGGAUUUUGCAUGAACA
Long non-coding RNA from Camelus dromedarius (Arabian camel), 547 nucleotides. RefSeq lists it as uncharacterized. Lineage: Eukaryota; Metazoa; Chordata; Mammalia; Artiodactyla; Camelidae. The record is from RefSeq and is a predicted model, not a curated record. The transcript is spliced from 3 exons.